Oryzias sinensis (Chinese medaka) is the source of this 101-nucleotide microRNA precursor. Ensembl annotates it as microRNA 1-1. Lineage: Eukaryota; Metazoa; Chordata; Actinopteri; Beloniformes; Adrianichthyidae. The record is from Ensembl.
GACAGCGGCCUGCUUGGGGGACAUACUUCUUUAUAUGCCCAUAUGAACACGAGCAACUAUGGAAUGUAAAGAAGUAUGUAUCCCAGGUUGGGAGAAAUGAC